UGAUUAAUUUGAUAAGGUAU
RNAcentral lists this microRNA (20 nucleotides) under Schistosoma mansoni. RNAcentral describes it as "sma-miR-8462-5p". Lineage: Eukaryota; Metazoa; Platyhelminthes; Trematoda; Strigeidida; Schistosomatidae. The record is from miRBase by way of RNAcentral.